UUCGUCGCUCUAUUUUGAGCAGCUCCACCUCGAACACCAGGGUUGCACCACCUGGAAUCUUUGGGGGAGCUCCCCGCUCUCCAUACCCUAGCUCGGAUGGGAUCACCAGCUUGCGCUUUUCCCCCUCACACAUCCCCAGCAGCCCCUGGUCCCAGCCCUUGAUGACCUGGCCUGUGCCAAGGGAGAAGACAAAGGGCUGGUUCUGGGGCAGGCUGCUGUCAAACUCUGUCCCAUCUUCCAGCUUCCCCUGUGGAACCAUGAGAAGGCCAGUGAGGAAGAGGGGACCACCCC
RNAcentral lists this long non-coding RNA (291 nucleotides) under Homo sapiens (human). Its description in RNAcentral is "LNC_000730". The record is from RNAcentral. Lineage: Eukaryota; Metazoa; Chordata; Mammalia; Primates; Hominidae.